This is a long non-coding RNA of Stegodyphus dumicola, 668 nucleotides long. NCBI's taxonomy places the organism in Eukaryota, Metazoa, Arthropoda, Arachnida, Araneae, Eresidae. The record is from RefSeq and is a predicted model, not a curated record.
ACAUAUCUCCCUGUGCAGUUAUGCAAAAAUUUGAGCAUGCAAUUGUCGCCAAAAGAAGCUGCUAUCUUUGGAAAAAAACUAAAGUCGCCAAAAGGUGGGAUACUAUGCCAAUUCCAGCAUCCAUGCGUAUCAAAACUGACCUUAAAGAGCUCUGCAAAAAGGGAGAAGCAGGAAGCCUCACUUGGGGGCACUAGGGAAUGGGAACAGCGAAAUAAAUAAAGGAUGGAUGCAAAGAAGCCAUCUGCAGAAAUUUCCCAGACUGUGGUAGGUUGAGAAGCAAAAGAAUCCGGUUUUCUAUACUUGUGGUGUCAUCUGGCGGCUAACACAGGAACUAGAUGACCAGAAAGAGAUGAAAAUAAACGAAGCACUUUAUUGGGAGAAUGGAUACAGGAAAUCGGAAACAAACUUGGCCUAGUAAAAUAGUAGCUAUCUAUCGGCAGAUUAAGAAUUGACUUCGGCAUGGACGGAAACUAAAGCUUGUAAAUAGAUGUAUUUUAAAAUACCCACAAAUUUUAUAAAUUAUUCCAGUUAUUAUAAUUAAAUUAUGAAAGAAAUACAUACUUGAAUCAUUUAAAUAUUAAUAUUUAACUUCACAUAAAUGAAUAUAAGUUUCUGAUAUUCGUCUUUAAAUCAAAAAUAUAAAAAAUGUAAAUAAACGUUUUACGUUU